GAUGCAGCCAUGCCGCGUGUGUGAAGAAGGCCUUCGGGUUAUAAAGCACUUUCAGUUGUGAGGAAAAGUUAGUAGUUAAUACCUGCUAGCCGUGACGUUAACAAAAGAAGAAGCACCGGCUAACUCCGUGCCAGCAGCCGCGGUAAUACGGAGGGUGCGAGCGUUAAUCGGAAUUACUGGGCGUAAAGCGCACGCAGGCGGUUUGUUAAGCUAGAUGUGAAAGCCCCGGGCUCAACCUGGGAUGGUCAUUUAGAACUGGCAGACUAGAGUCUUGGAGAGGGGAGUGGAAUUCCAGGUGUAGCGGUGAAAUGCGUAGAUAUCUGGAGGAACAUCAGUGGCGAAGGCGACUCCCUGGCCAAAGACUGACGCUCAUGUGCGAAAGUGUGGGUAGCGAACAGGAUUAGAUACCCUGGUAGUCCACACCGUAAACGCUGUCUACUAGCUGUUUGUGACUUUAAGUCGUGAGUAGCGAAGCUAACGCGAUAAGUAGACCGCCUGGGGAGUACGGCCGCAAGGUUAAAACUCAAAUGAAUUGACGGGGGCCCGCACAAGCGGUGGAGCAUGUGGUUUAAUUCGAUGCAACGCGAAGAACCUUACCUACACUUGACAUGCAGAGAACUUUCCAGAGAUGGAUUGGUGCCUUCGGGAACUCUGACACAGGUGCUGCAUGGCUGUCGUCAGCUCGUGUCGUGAGAUGUUGGGUUAAGUCCCGCAACGAGCGCAACCCUUGUCCUUAGUUGCCAGCAUUCAGUUGGGCACUCUAAGGAGACUGCC
This 774-nucleotide ribosomal RNA is filed under the name uncultured Alteromonadaceae bacterium. RNAcentral describes it as "bacterial SSU rRNA". It matches the Rfam family "Bacterial small subunit ribosomal RNA", at positions 385 to 1153 of the family's 1533-position model. The record is from RNAcentral. Lineage: Bacteria; Pseudomonadati; Pseudomonadota; Gammaproteobacteria; Alteromonadales; Alteromonadaceae.